Molecule: long non-coding RNA, 1720 nt
Filed under: Homo sapiens (human)
Lineage: Eukaryota; Metazoa; Chordata; Mammalia; Primates; Hominidae
Description: non-protein coding lnc-ARHGEF19-1:1
Source: RNAcentral
ACUUCGUGCUCGCCUGGGAGGAGAAGCUGCGACCCCCGCGGCGGCGGGAGAGAGGCGACUCCGGCAGCGGCGCUGGCGCGAGAAUUUUCAGCGGAACCUGGAGGAGAAAUCCUGGACCGCACAAUCUCCAGGAAGAAGAAACAUACAGAGAUGGGCAUCGCCCACCUGCUGGUAGAGGGAGUCUACACUGCGGCCUUCCCACUGCCCAAUUGCUGUACCCAUACUGGGCUUGCUGGGGAUACUGGCACAAGUACCAGCCCCUGGACCAGCCUUUGGACAAAGUAUGAGAGUACUUUGGGGUGAAGGUGGUCAUCCACUUUGCCUGGUUUCUACAUGGCCUGUCUGCUGCCUGUGACCCUGGUGGGCACCCUGCUCUUUAUCUGGGGGUGCCACUCUGUGAUACCUGUGCCACGUGGAAUAUUUCUGGGAUCUGCCCCAUGGCCAAGCUGAGCUGCCUCUUUGACCACCCAGGAACCGUGUUCUUCAGCAUCUUCAUGUCCUUCUGGGGCCAUGGCCUUCCUGGAGCACUGGAAGCAGGGAGUGCCACCUUGGCCCACCACUGGGACUGCAGUGACUUCCAGGACCAGGAGGCAAUGCCCAGUUCAGCCCCCCACCACUGGGACUGCAGCGACUUCCAGGACCAGGAGGUGAUGCCCAGUUCAGCCCUCCACCACUGGGACUGCAGCGACUUCCAGGACCAGGAGGUGAUGCCCAGUUCAGCCCUCCAGGCCACAACCCCACUUCCCAGAUUUGCUGCCCUGGCCCUGCAGAUGACCCAGAACCCAGUGACAGGCUUGAAGGAGCCCUACUUCCUCUGUGUGGUGAUGAUUUUCCUGGUAUCUGUCAUAAUUUACCAUGGCAUCAUCAGCAUUGCAAUUUCACUUUCAUUUUCAGUUUGUCAAUUUCUAUUCUUCUCCCUUCUACAUGGCAUUCUUCAAAGGCAGGUUUGUGGGAUACCCCGGUCAUGCGGUCCUGGUGGCUGCCACAUUCAGGUCACCCAGCAGCUCAUCAUCAUCAUGGUGGGCAAACAGCUGCUCAACCACAUGGAAGAAUUUGUUGGUGGAAAUCAUCAUGGUGCCUGCCUCUAAGGGGUGCUGGCUUGGUGGCAGAAGUGGCAGCUGGCAGGGCAGAGGGACACCCAGAUCGGGCAGGAGCUGCAGCACUGGGAGAAGGAAGGACUAUGAGCUCAUCAAGUGUCAGGGCCUGUUUGAUGAAUACCCAGGAGCUGCAGUUUGGGUUCAUCACCAUCUUUGUGGGAGCCUUCCUGCUGGCACCCCUGUUCACUCUGCUCAACAACCGGGUAGAGAUUGGACUGGACGCCCACAAGUUCCUGUGCAAGUACCAGCGACCAAUGGCUGGGCGCGGCUUUCGUCUCGCCUUCAUCUCGGACUUCUGCCGCAUAUCCCGUAACAGUACGAACACCACACCCAGCUGCACGGAUUUGUGAAUUUCACGCGGGCACCCGCGCCCCAUGCCCACCUGAUACAAGGCCUCUCGCGACGUGGGGGUGAACCUCGCCCUCUUCUACUGGAAGCUGCUGGCUGUGCAUGUGCAUCUGGGUUUCAUUAUCGCCUUCGAGAAUGUAGUGUUCUUCUUCCUGUGCCCCAACGACCGGCUCGUGCCCGAUGUGCCAGCCCUGGCUACCAAGAUAACUGCGCGAGCGCUACCUGGCCAAGCAGGCGGUGGCAGACAACCGGGAGACGCUGUUUCAGUCAGCAAG